RNAcentral lists this long non-coding RNA (306 nucleotides) under Homo sapiens (human). Its description in RNAcentral is "HSALNT0171984". Lineage: Eukaryota; Metazoa; Chordata; Mammalia; Primates; Hominidae. The record is from RNAcentral.
CCGGGAAUGAGAAUUGCUGCAGGACUUCCAGUGCUAAAAUUGGGACAGGUCCUGGACAAAUUCAAAAGCCCCUGUCUGUUCCCCUCCAGAGAUUCCAUCAAGAAGACUUCUGCACUGGGUUUGAGGCUCUGACCAUCCACAGUCCUGGGUCCUAUUCUCAACUCCAAAAACACCGCAAGGAGAGUGGUGGACUUCCUCUCAAGAGGAUUGGGCAUCUGUGUCUGGUGAAGUCUUUAAGGAGGCCCAAUAAAUAACACCUCUUUCCUUCACUGAAGCUUUAAGGCUUGUUGGGAAUUCAGAGACUAA